AGCGAAUUUGAGGGACUGUGGAAGAUACAGAACUCGUACCCAGAUGAGGAGUCGAGGGAAAAACACGAAACACUUUCAAUUUUUUUCUUUUUACUUUAUUCAACCGAACUCCCAACCAAUCAAAUCAUAUACAUAAUUUACAGUACACAAGGUCAAUUACCACAGAGGAUAUGUUCAAGUACAAAAAAAUUAAAUCUAUCUAAUUAUUAAUUAUUUUCGAUAAAAAUGCUUAUGUUUUGUUGACGACGUAUUUGUAAAAAUACAUAUUUUGAAUAUAUAGUCACAGUUCACUAAAUAUAUUAGCUGAUGAAUUAGCAGGGUACGUUAUUAAUAUAUGAAAUGUUUUUUAUCAUAUAGCAUUUGAUUAUGUAUUUGGUUUCAUUUCGUAUUUCAUUAUAUAUAUAUAUAUUUCAAUAUAUAGUUUUCGUUUUACCUAAAAAAAUCAGGUGGUGAGUAAUUUUCUCAAUUACUCACCACCUGAUGAUUCCUAUACGGAUGAAACAGACUGUUGUGGUUUUUUGAGGUAAAACGAAAAACUAUAUUACGUUCUAUCUAUAUGGUAUUGAGCACUGUUUGUGUUUCGUAAACCGAAAACUUAAGCUAUUUCAAUAUAUAUAUAUAUAUAUAUAUAUAUAUAUAUA
This is a non-coding RNA of Paramuricea clavata, 641 nucleotides long. The record is from the annotation of a GenBank genome assembly. NCBI's taxonomy places the organism in Eukaryota, Metazoa, Cnidaria, Anthozoa, Malacalcyonacea, Plexauridae.